UACGUGAAACCGUUCAGGGGUAAACGGGAGAAAUCCUGAAUUCGAAGGGGAUUGGAUUCAAUUCCGACCGGCUGCCUAGGCCACCUGGCCCCGCCAGAUGUCGCUGGUCGCCCACGGCGAUUCAUUUCGCUUGUGGUGUCGUUCCCGGCGGUCACUCGGUGGGGUGGUGCUGCUCUGACACCGGAGGAGUGCACUUCCUCCCUUGUAGAAACGUCGCGACCCGUUGGGUGCCGGUCUAAGGCCCGGGAUGGCAGACCAUGUGUCCUGUGCGGUAACGCACAGGCGCGUGGACUCCUGGUGACCCGGCCGGCUGCUCGACGGUAUGACCAGAGGAGUCGAUCCGCUGAAUGGGAAACACUAUGGUUGUGUAGCGUCCGGCCCGGCUCCGACACGUGCGGGGAACGUGGUGUAAACCGGGGGUGUCCGUGCAGAAGCACGGCCCCGGCCCCGCUGCGUCGUUGGAUCUGUCGGUGUCCUCGGACUGGAUCAGUACUCCCGUCGGCGACGCCCACCUUCGGAUGGUCUCCCGACCCGUCUUGAAACACGGACCAAGGAGUCUAACAUGUGCGCGAGUCAUUGGGUUGCACUAAACCUAAAGGCGCAAUGAAAGUGAAGGCUGCUUUUGUGUGGGUGGCCGAGGGAAGAUGGUACUGGGUGUCCUGGAUCCUCGCGGUUCAGGGCCCGGCUCGCAUUCCCGGGGCGUCUCGUCCUCACUGCGAGGGGAGGCGCACCUAGAGCGUACACGUUGGGA
This 751-nucleotide ribosomal RNA is filed under the name Neoptera sp. NZAC 03014323. RNAcentral's name for it is "eukaryotic LSU rRNA". It matches the Rfam family "Eukaryotic large subunit ribosomal RNA", at positions 396 to 814 of the family's 3401-position model. Lineage: Eukaryota; Metazoa; Arthropoda; Insecta. The record is from RNAcentral.